AUUGAACGCUGGCGGCAGGCCUAACACAUGCAAGUCGAACGGUAACAGGAAGAAGCUUGCUUCUUUGCUGACGAGUGGCGGACGGGUGAGUAAUGUCUGGGAAACUGCCUGAUGGAGGGGGAUAACUACUGGAAACGCUAGCUAAUACCGCAUAACGUCGCAAGACCAAAGAGGGGGACCUUCGGGCCUCUUGCCAUCGGAUGUGCCCAGAUGGGAUUAGCUAGUAGGUGGGGUAACGGCUCACCUAGGCGACGAUCCCUAGCUGGUCUGAGAGGAUGACCAGCCACACUGGAACUGAGACACGGUCCAGACUCCUACGGGAGGCAGCAGUGGGGAAUAUUGCACAAUGGGCGCAAGCCUGAUGCAGCCAUGCCGCGUGUAUGAAGAAGGCCUUCGGGUUGUAAAGUACUUUCAGCGGGGAGGAAGGGAGUAAAGUUAAUACCUUUGCUCAUUGACGUUACCCGCAGAAGAAGCACCGGCUAACUCCGUG
This 490-nucleotide ribosomal RNA is filed under the name uncultured bacterium. Its description in RNAcentral is "partial 16S ribosomal RNA". It matches the Rfam family "Bacterial small subunit ribosomal RNA", at positions 30 to 507 of the family's 1533-position model. The record is from RNAcentral.